GUCAAAUUCUAACUGCAGAGAAUGAUCAGGAAAGAUCAAUUUGAGGAAAUAACAUUUGAGCUAGACUUUUAAGGAGGAGAAAGAGCCAGCUGCAGAAAGCCAACAAGAGGGGUGUUUGAUGCAAAGAAAAUCAUAAACCGACCCCCAGCUGGAAAUGAUCCUAACCUGUGGAAGCUCCUGAAUUGAGUGAGGGACUGGCCGGCAGGAGAGCAUAACACAGCUCAUCCUGACUGAUGCCACCAUUUCCAGAUAAGAGAAAUGCGACUGAGAAAGAUUAAGAUAUUUUCUUAAGAUUGGACAUUGUGUUCCUACCCAUUGUGCUUGCCUUAUAGUUGAAAGAGAGUUUAUUUAAGCACAGAGAUCAAGCAAGAGUGGAGCACAGGACACACUUUCAGGUUGCCUUGGGGACUGCUCUGUAGAACAAAAAAUCAAACUCAAGAUUUUAAGGAAAAAAAGUACAAGUGAAGAGAAGGCGUGAUUACCAAAGUUGUUGAUCUAAUUCUCAUUGAUUUACAGAAAUAACAGUGGCUAAUGAUCAGCUAUACAUUGUUGAAUUAUAGGAUGUAUGGCAUUUAAAAAUGUAUUUAUUUAAAACUAAUUUUUUUAGAUUUUUGAUGGAUUUAGGGGUACAGGUGCAGUUGUGUUACAUGUAUAUAUUUUGUAGAGAUGAAAUCUGGGCUUUUACGUACAACUACCCAAAAAAGAUACAUUGUACCCAAUAGGCAGCAUUUCACUUUCACCCUCAUUCUAUCCUCCCACUGUUUGGAGCCUCCAAUGUCUAUCAUUCCACUCAGUAAGUCCAUGUCCACGGUUUAGCACCCAUGUAUAAUUGGGAACAUGCAGUUCUUGAUUUUCUGUUUCUGAGUCAUUUCACUAAGGGUAAUGGCCUCCAGUUCCACACACAUGCUGCAAAAGUCAUAAUUUCAUCCACUUUUAUGGCUGAAUAGUAUUCCAUGGUAUAUAUCUACCAGAUUGUUUUAUUCAAUGAUAUGUUGAUGGACACUUAGGUUGAUUUCGCAAUUUUGCUAUUCUGAAUUGUGCUACAAUAAACAUACAAAUGCAGAAGGCUUUUUUAUAUAAUGAUUUCUUUCUUUUUGGGGAGUACAUGUGCAGUAGUGGAAUUGCUGGAUUGAAGGGUAGUUCUAUUUUUAGUUUUCUAGAAAUUAUCAUACUGUUUUCCAUAGAGGUCAUGCUAAUUACACACCAACCAAUACAUAUUUUCCAACAUCUUGCUUUUUGACCAUUUUUGAGACAGGGUCUCCCUCUGUUGCCCAGGCUGAAGUGCAGUGGCAUGAUCAUAGGUCACUGCAACCCCAAUCUCUUGGGCUCAAGGCAUCCUCUUGGGUCUGCCUCCUGAGUAGUAAGGACUACAGGCCCAUACCACCACACCUGGAUAUUUUUUUUCUUGUUUCUUGAGACAAGGUUCCACUAUGUUGCCCAGGCUUAUCUUGAAUGCCUGGACUCAAGUGAUUCACCCACCUCAGCCUCUCAAAAUACUGUGAUGACAAGCAUGAACCACUGCACUUGGCCAUUUUUUGACUGUUUAAUAACAGCCAUUGUGACUAUUAUAAGAUGGUAUGGCAUUGCGGCUUUAAUUUUCAUUUCUCUGACAUUUAAUUAUGUUAAGUAUUUUCAUAUGUUUGCCGUUUAUAUGUCUUUUAUUUAAAAAUGUCUGUUCAUACCCUGUGGCCACUUUUUAAUGGGGUUAUUCUUGUUUUUCUUGUUGAGUUGUUUAAGUUCCUUGUAGAGCCUGGAUAUUAGCUCUUUGUCAGAUACACUGCUGGCAAAUCUUUCCGCCCAUUCUGCAGGUUGUUUGUUUACUGAGAAUUAUUUCUUUUGAUGUGCAGAAGCUUUUUAGUUUUAUUAAGUCCCAUUUCUCUG
This is a long non-coding RNA of Homo sapiens (human), 1881 nucleotides long. RefSeq lists it as uncharacterized. The record is from RefSeq and is a predicted model, not a curated record. Lineage: Eukaryota; Metazoa; Chordata; Mammalia; Primates; Hominidae. The transcript is spliced from 3 exons.